RNAcentral lists this unclassified non-coding RNA (279 nucleotides) under fungal sp. RNAcentral's name for it is "partial internal transcribed spacer region". The stretch from base 1 to 46 matches the Rfam family "Eukaryotic small subunit ribosomal RNA", at positions 1786 to 1831 of the family's 1831-position model. The record is from RNAcentral. Lineage: Eukaryota; Fungi.
AAGUCGUAACAAGGUUUCCGUAGGUGAACCUGCGGAAGGAUCAUUAGCGUAAGAGACGAUUGAAGGGCCGUAUGGCCUUUUAUUUCUCUACACCAUGUGAACGAGAACGUGUCUGCGGCUGGAGGCGCGCGGGGGAAGCUUGCGCGUGGGGAAGCUCAUGCGCAUGGGAAAGCUCACGUGCCGCCAGCAUGCAUCUCGAAACCGUUGACAAUCUAACAAACCCAAUAUAUAACAAUAUAACCAAACACACAACUUUUAACAAUGGAUCUCUAGGCUCCU